GAUGAACGCUGGCGGCGUGCCUAAUACAUGCAAGUCGAGCGAACCGUCCAGGAGCUUUCUCCUCUGACUUUAUCGGCCGUCGGGUGAUUCACACGUGUAUAACCUACCUCUCAGACUGGGAUACCUUCGCGAAACCGUAGCUAAUACCGGAUAAUAUAUUGCACCUCAUUGUUCACUCGUUAAAUACGCUUUUUCUUUCACUUAUAGCUUGAUCCGCCCCGCAUUAGCUAGUUGUGUAGGUAACGGCUUACCAAGGCGACGAUGCGUAGACGACCUGAGAGGGUGAUCGGACACACGGGAAGUGAGAAACGGUAGAGACUCCUACGGGAGGAAGCAGUAGAGAAUCUUACGCAAUGGGGGAAAGGCGGAUGGAGAAAAGCGGCGGGAGUGAUGAAGGACUUCGGAUCGGAAAGCGCUGUUGUUAGGGAAGAACAAAAGUGUAAGUAACUAGGCACGUAUUGACGGUACCGAAGGAGAAAGCCACGGCUAACUACGUG
RNAcentral lists this ribosomal RNA (497 nucleotides) under uncultured bacterium. Its description in RNAcentral is "partial 16S ribosomal RNA". It matches the Rfam family "Bacterial small subunit ribosomal RNA", at positions 28 to 507 of the family's 1533-position model. The record is from RNAcentral.